UUACAAGUGAGUUAGCCAUUUUUUUAGCGAAGUUAAAGGUUGUUUUAUGUGAAAAUAUACUAAUAUAGGACAAUCUAUAUAUAUGUGAAGGCCCGUUUCCACUUUAAACCUCUAUUUCAAUAAAUAAAUUAUGUAAACAAUUAAAAAAUACAAUAUCUAUAGAUGGCGAAGGAAAAGGCAUGAAACGACCAAUUGGUUUCUUGGCGUUGGUUACUAUCGCUUGUUUCCAAUACCCAAGAAAUUAUGUGGUAUUUACGAAACCUAAAACAUUUCCUAUAUGGGCUGCUGAGAUGAACGAAGAGUCUAGUAAAUAGAUAAUCUAAGAGUUCCAAUGUUCAAGAAAUCCUGGUUGAUUUUUUCUGCCUUUGAAGAAGAAUAUCACAUUUGUAUCAAUGACAUUUUUUUCAAAUAAUUGAAUUUCAACUAUCCUUCAAUUUAUAAUAAAUGACAUCACAGCCCGAACAACCAAAAUUGGCGGUUCUUAUAUCUUUAUAAAUAUUGAUAGGUAUAACAUUAAGGUUUUGAAUAAAAACAUUAUUCUGCUUUACACAAGUAUAAAAUACCAUCACUAUGUACAUGAAAGUUUAAGUACUUAUUAAGCUUUUUAAUUUUUUUGAU
This is a long non-coding RNA of Pieris rapae (cabbage white), 618 nucleotides long. RefSeq lists it as uncharacterized. Lineage: Eukaryota; Metazoa; Arthropoda; Insecta; Lepidoptera; Pieridae. The transcript is spliced from 3 exons. The record is from RefSeq and is a predicted model, not a curated record.